Molecule: transfer RNA, 68 nt
Filed under: Marmota monax (woodchuck)
Lineage: Eukaryota; Metazoa; Chordata; Mammalia; Rodentia; Sciuridae
Description: tRNA.Ala
Source: RNAcentral
GGAUUGUAGCUCAGUGGUAGAGUGCUUGCCCAGCAUGUGUGAGGACCUGGGUUUGAUUCUCAGCACCA